Long non-coding RNA from Equus caballus (horse), 2863 nucleotides. NCBI's taxonomy places the organism in Eukaryota, Metazoa, Chordata, Mammalia, Perissodactyla, Equidae. The record is from Ensembl.
GCUCUCUAGGUGAUUCUAAUGUCAGCAAAGAUGGAGAACCACUGAUGUAGUCAGUGAGAAGUAAUAGGGGCUAUUUUUCAGAACAGCGUUUUGAGUUAAUUUGAAAGGAGGGAAAAUCUCAGGGCGAAGGUUAUUGUGGUGAGGUUAUAAGGUGAGGUCAAAGGUUAGCAAGGAGGUCUGGGUGGGCAUGGGGUCAGUUACACAGUAUGCUCUUAAAUGAUAGCGGGUAAAGUGAGCUGAACUUAAUCUGAAAAAAAAGCAAAAAAAGGAGUUCUGGCAUCCUAAGGUGGUGUUCAGCAAAGGGCAGUGUCAGGACAGUACCUCAGCUGAAGACCUUCAGGUCCAUGGAAGACAGUGCAUGGAUUAUUCUGAAGAAUGACUUUCCGACAAUCUGCCCCCAGCUGUGUGUUGCAAUGCACGUGGCGGAGCUGCGCUUCCAAAGAGGCUGGCUCAGUGGGGCUGCGGUGAUGUCUCCUUCCAGGUCCCAGCAUGGAUGACCCUGUUCUUCUUGGCCCUGAGUUAACAUCUGCUGCCAAUCCUCCUCUUUUCUCUGAGGAAGACUGGCCCUGAGCUCACAUCCGUGCCCAUCUUCCUCUGCUUUAUAUGUGGGACGCCUGCCACAGCAUGGCUUGCCAACCGGUGCCAUGUCCACACCCGGGAUCUGAACUGGCAAAUCCCGGGCUGCUGAAGAGGAAUGUGUGAACUUAACCACUGCGCCACAAGGCUGGCCCCACAAUACCUUUCUUAAGCGUUGUCUAGUUAAUCCUCAUGCAACACCAAAGGAGCUCUCCUUGCCCACAUCUCUCAGAUGACAAAAUCAGGCUGAGGAAAAAGAAGUUGACUCAGCCAAGGUCACACAGUCAGAUUAGGGCUCAGCUUCAGGUCUUCUGACCACAGUGCCAUAUUGGGUGUUCUCCUCCCCCUGGACUUGCCCUGGCCGGAGAAAAGACCCUUCUCUGGGGCAGACAGCAGACUUGCUGACACACGCACAACGCAACCUGGAUAGGGGUGGCGUCAGAUUAGCCUCAAGGCAGAGCAACUUGCUGUUGGUGUUCUUCUGUUUAUACAGGGCUUUUCUUCAAAGCACUCCACCUGGUUUUGCAAAUAACUAUUACAGACCUUUCCUGCAGCAAGUCUAGGGGAGACGAGUCAAACAACGGCAGCAGAUGUUCUCCAGCCUUCGAAACCAACGAGUCUCCACACUUGUCAGCUGACGUGGCUCACAGGGUCCAGGAUUAACAGCACAGGCCUCUGUGAUUUGUCUGGUGAAGUAACACGGCAGCUCACAGAGGUUUAAUCAUUGCCCACUGGCCCCACCAAAAUAGCACAGGAGAUUAUGAAACUCCUUAUGCUUCACAGAGUGACAGCUGUGUGGCCCUCGUAGACUCCUCUCCCUCGAGAUCCACUGAGGAGGACUCUGCUGGGCUGUUCUCACAGUCUCGGCGGCUUAGCCAAGGAAGAGCUUCAUUUCUCAGGGCUGGGCUCACACUAUGUGCAUCCCGAGUCCACUUCCUAGGCCUGAGGCCUUCCUGGCAGCUCCUCCUGACUGCCGGGCUGGCUGUUCUCAGGAAGGAGCCUACAGGGACACAUCUCAGCUGCAUGUUCUCACGUAUGCCCAAGGCUGCCAAGCAGCGUCCAGUGAGCUGUGUGCUGGAGGCUGUGCCCAGGCUCCCCUGCCAAGCCCCCAGGCCCUUAGUGAGGGGUGGGACCCAUGGGAGUUGUUUGCAUUAGUCCAUGGCAGCCUGCUCAGCAGCCCACCAUGAACCUUUCCUGGGCCUGAGUUAAUGACUUGCUAUGGCUCCCACUUGCCUCCCAGCCAGGCCAGUGGCUUCCUUCCCAGCACCAGCCUGCUCUGCAACUCAGACCAGGGCACACUUCAACCCAGACACUCAAAGAUGCCCUCCUGAGUGGUGGCACCCACGUUAGCAUAUGGUCCUCUAGAAAGGGGACUGGGAAACUGCCCAGCAUGGAGUCCAAAUUCAGCUAGUAAAGAUGGGAAGACAAUUUUCUUCUGGAUCCCGCUAUUGACUUCCUUCAGCAGUUCUCAGAAAACUAGAGUUGGACAGAGAAGUGCCAGUUUCUGUCUGCCUUUGGACAGAACUUGCUAUACCUCUACUAAAUGACCAUCUGGCUCCAGACCCCUCAGGGUCAGCUGAUUCCUGUAAAUCCAUGGUCUUCCAGCAGGGAGGUUCAUGGGACUCCCCAUCAGGGAGGGGGAACGGGCUCCACCGGCCGAGAUUUGAGUUCGAUGAGUCUGGGUCAGGAUUGACACAUAGUUCCCCACCCCCAUAACCCAAAGCCUUGAAUUUCAUAGACAUAAAGGAAAGACAGAAGGGAACUUGAGAAAUAAUCUCAGUUGACAGAAGACAGUCUCACCCGAUAGGGAACCAUCAGCUCACGGGUUUCAGCUAAAGAUCAGCAGAGCUGACAUGCUGCAGAGCCGAAUGGAGCAAGUGAUUGGCACUUCUCCCGCCUGCUUCAUCCUCUCCUUCGCUGGAGAGACAUCACUAGAUAUCAGGAAUCACUAGGCAGGAAUCUCCUCAUAAUUAGUCCCCAGGACAGCCAAGUUCUUGCCACCUGGGGAACAAAGGCAACCCGUGGGGUCUGUCAGGUGCAACUCACGGCCAGGACCUCAGUGGGAGGCUGGCUAGAGGCAGCCACCCCGAAGCCAGAGGACUCACCCCUCCUAAAGGGAUGCUGCGCUCAGUCCUGAUGGGGACAGGGGCAGGGUGGAUGUGUGCGGGGACAGCCUGACCAUAGCUCAGCAGGAAGCAAGCCAUGUAUUUAUUUAUGGUGAGGACCACAUUUCACCCUCGGUUAAGCUGGCUCCAAGCGAGCAGUGCAAUCUCAGCUCUGGGAGGAA